UCCGCGGGGCUCCGGCCGAGCCCGCGCCCCGCUACUCAAACCCAAGCACGUCUGGCCAAGAGAUCUUUUCUGCGCCUGGGAGGUUUUCGCUUCCUCAGUUCCCACCGCUGAGGCUGGUGGCUACCAAGUGUAGGAGAAAGUCCCCACGAGGAGAGGCAGGGGGGCGCGGAGACGGGCAGGCGACUCGGAGGGGUAGGAAGUAAACGCUGGACUCGAUCAUCUGUCUCCUUCUGCCUUUCAGAGCGGACCUGCCGCAGUGGGAGAGCUGUCAUUUCAGCACCGGGAUUUAGCAUUGAUCCAGUCAGCAGCCUAGGGGCCAGGUCCCAGCUCCCACUGACUGCUCUUUGCCUCAGGCUGGAGGCUGGAACUAUAGUUGUUAGUUUUUUUUUUUUUGUUUGUUUUUUGUUUUUUUGCUUUUUGAUUUUUUUUAAAUCACAGCCAGACUACAAUUAACGUCUUAUUUGUUCUGGCACCAAAGAGACUUUGCCAGAACCGCUGAGCAGGCUACCGAGAUCAGUCGUCCUGAACUGCUCUCUGCAUGGCGAUGGGACAAUAGUGCUGGUUCUAAACUUUUGAUUCGUUCUGGCUUCUUAAUGCAUUUAUUCCUUGUCAAGUUUUCCCUCGUAGCAAGUUCGGACGUCUGAAGAUGCAUCAGACAGACUUCACUUGCACACGCAGGUCAUUCGCCUGCUAGUUUUGUCUCUACUUGUAUACGCGCGGUUGGUGGUUUGCAAAAGGAGUGUUUGAAUAGUGUGCUUAUGUGGUGGGAGGAGACAAACAGGCAAGGCAUUUGAGCUGAGUCUUCCUAAGGGCGAGUUGCCUGAGCAGCAGGUGAAGUUGAAUGAAGCAAUUUUCCGUCAAUUGCUUUACUCUCUCAUUUGCAUUUUUUGUUCCUCUUCUUGUUCCUCUCCCCCGGGGCCAUUGCAUAGCCAAGAACAUGAUUUUCAAAAGAAGGCUACCAUGAAAACAAGAAGGUGCUGAUGGUCUUUUAUGCACCAGGAUUGUUUGUAAUAUUAAAAUUGGCUCUUUGGCUCUUUCCGUCUUAAUGCAUAUUAAUAGAAUGACCCUCUUCAAGGCUUUUCUCUUUUAGGACAAGCAUUGAAGCAGCAACCUGUAAAGGAAACAGUUAAUCAGUCUCCAGCAGGCUGCAACAAUGUUCCCAGGAACAAAUCACCAGGGAAAGCAGCCUGGGUGGCAUUUGGGUUUUGUGUCAUUUCUGGUCCAUUACAAUGCUUUUAUUCAUUUAAGGGAUUGUGAAAAGAAAAUGGUCUCAUAUGUCAAACGCGAAAUCCUAAAUACUGUGUAUAUAGGGAGCACAUUUUCUUAUAUGUAUUUAAAAAAAACGCAGACUAUUCUGCAGUGUAAAAGAGGAAAAUGUUUUGUUUAUUUCAACUUUCCAGAUAACAGUGGUCAUAAUACUUGCAAGACAUUUGGGUAAAUCUGUUAUUUGACCCAGAGCAAAAAAAGAAGAAAAGAGCACAAAUAAAUGUGCCAUAAAAAUGCAGAAAAAGGAAAAAGCUUCGCAUGGCAUAUACAUACAGAGAUAAAAUAAUGUGGGGUUAGUUAUAAUUCUCACUCAGCAGUGUCUUCUCCAGUUAUCAUUUAGCAGUGUGAUCUCGAUGUUUCUUAGAAAUCCCUGAAGUCAUAGCAGCAUGGAGUAAGAAUAACAGCCUGGGGGGACAAUUUUAAAAGGCUUAAUCCUUAAUGGAAAGGAGCACUCUCUUUCAGGAUCAUUUUAAUUCGAGUAGAAUGCAGGGCUGGGUCAGAAAGGAAAGCCACACUUAAUAAAACGCUUCACCCUUCACACCGGUUCCCAUAACCUUCAUAAAUUGCAGGCUACUGAGCUGCUCUGAUGAUGGUCCUGCUGAGGUAUAUUUAGAGCAGAUGAUUUGUAGAUGAUAAAUAUGCCAAGCUAGACACGCAGCCGCAGUAACCCGGGGCUCAUCUGACUUCCUCAGGGGGUCACAAUCGAGAAAAACAAGAGGAACUAUAGAAGGAGAAACUGGUCUCUGGACCCUGACAACACAGUCCAAAGCCAACCCAAGAAGGCAUUACUUUGUUUUUGCGCCUGCAUGGUGUUCCGUGGGAAAGCUUGGCUGUCAUUGAUUCAGUAACAAAAAGCAAACCAGGGUACACCGUGAACUCUGUGUCUUCAGAUGAUAAUUACCAGCUUUUACUAUCUAGUUCACACGUGCCUAUGUAUAUUCCUGUAUAUGUCCCACAUUUCCCACAUGUCUGUUAUACAUGCAUGUUUAUACAUGCAUACAUACACUUUUUCCUAACCUGUAUACAUGAAUAUGUGUGUGUGUGUGUGUGUGUGUGUGUGUGUGUGUGUGUGUGUGUGUGUAAUUUAUACAUGUAUUUUAUCCGGCCAUGUUGUAAAUAUACCUUUUCGAUAUCCCUGUUGACUUUCAAAAGGAAUGUUGAGAAAUCAGUGCUAACAUAUUCAAGUCUAAACUAUUAUUUUUAUAGCAUCACCAUAGUUCAACUUGGUCAGGGUUAUCUAAAGUUGAACAUCUUCACAAUACAUCCCCUAUAAUUUAUCUGUUCCAUUAAGAUCACUCCAAGAAAAUACUUCCAUGCAUAGUAUAUUUAAAUUUACCUUUUCACCCAACUUGAAACUUUCUACAUUUGAUAAAUGACCCCACUCUCCUAUAUUAUUGCUUAUAAUCCUGUGUCUUCUGCACAGCUCUCACCAAAUAAGAAGAAUAUGGUUCUAGAAUGCAUGUGAUCCAUUUUAAAGUAUUUCUUUUACUUGUUUUAUAUGCUUGUACCAUCUGCAUUUAUGUCUGUGCACCACUGGCAUGUAGGAAUCCUUAGAGGUCAGAAGAGACAUUGCAUCCCCUAGAAAUGGAAUUACAGAUGUUCAUAAGCGGCCAAGUGAGUGGUGGGAACCAAACCUGGAUCCCUCCCUCACAGGGUCAGUUAAUGCUCUUAACCAUGGAGCUACAGUUUUACCAAAAGCUUCCUCUUAUCCUCCCACAUAGUCUUUUGGAUAAUAUAUAGUGCCAUAUUCUAUAUUUUAUAGCUUAUCACUAUUAGUAAGAUUUUUAAAAGCAGACAUUAUGUAUAGUUUAUUCUUUGUUCAUACCACACUAUUUUUUUUUUAGCCAUAAGUGUCUUUAGUGUUGCAUGCACAAGAUUUGGAAAUGAAUCUCUUCCUCUGCCUUCUCCUUCUCUGUUUCCUUCUCCUGUCUAGUAUCUUCAGAGAUAAAAACUCUAAACACAUUAUUUGCUGAAAGCAUUAUUUGUUUAAAUAGUCAAAUGAUGAAAUGUUAAAAUAUUACAAGAUUGCACGGCUAUGCUAAAAAUGAAUGUUUAUCACCAACAGACCAGUUUACCUCUCCUCCUCAUUGUUUUUCUUAAAUUAUUUUUUCUUUAAUAGCAAAGUGUCUGAGUAACCAAGCGAAAGUCAGUCUCUCUAUCAAUAUUGGUCCUUUUUCUUCUCAGACAUUCCUGAAAAGAAAGACCAGGAUGAAGCAGUGAACUUAGCUGGGGUUAGGGAGGCAGGAGAGGCACCAAGAGAACUCUCCUGUUAGUACAGCCAAGUAUCAUCCCACUGGAUGUUAGGAUCAACUGGAGUUUAAUUAGCCACUGCUUCCUUGAAUCAUCUGCCAGUUUUAUUACUGUUUCCCAGCAUAAUGACACAAGAAGUUUCAAUAGCCGGUAGUCAUUACCUGUCAAUUUCUAGUCUCAUUCAUUGCAUUCGGGGAGACUUCCUGUCACAUAGAUGUAUUGCAGAAGUAACUUGGAAAAUGGGGACUUUAAAUGCUCAGAAUCCAAGCUUUCAGUGAUAUGGGAACUUAACCCCAAAUUAUUCUGUCAGUUACUCUUCUGUUUCUGUUUUAUCUUUGGUUUGGUUUGGUAUGAAGUUAUUGUAAUUAUGACCUUACCAUUCUUCAUCUCUGCAAGUUUAAUUCACUACAAGUAAGAUGUUUCAUUUUAACCAUGAAUUGGACAUGAAUUACUUACCUGUUUAUGAGCAUGAAGCUGUGGCCUCUCUUUAGAACUUACUUUAUAGGAAAGGGAAUGAAAUGAAUGAGUGUUAUUUUUUCUAAUAUUUUCUAAGUAAAGAAAUGUGUCUGUCAUUCAAGUUUUCUUAGUGAGCUGUGAACAAAGAGCUAGUCUCUCCAGACAAAGCACCAGUGACAGGAAACAUAAAAGUCUCAGCCAAGUCUAGCCUUGUGGGCCAAUGUAUUUUACUAAGGUGAUGUGGAAAAGAGGAGACGUACAAGAGCAGAGGUGACUUAGAAAAAAAAAAGCUUUGCCCCAAAGCCCAUGCCUUAAGGAGGAAGCUGAUCAUUGUCUGACUCACUGCUGGAUCUUCACAGAUCUCUUGUGGAAGUUGCCCUCCCCUGUACCUGCUUACCUCGUUAAUCAGCAGGAGGAAGGAUCUUGUCAAUCUGUAAUUUUCUCUCUUUUUUGGAAGAAAUUAUAGAAUAAGAGUUAUUGCAUCACACUCAAUAAUUACACAGCUAUUACAGACGAGAAAUAAGCAAUAAGAAAUAAGGGCAGAGGCAGAACAAUAUUGUUAGUAAUCUAGAUUGUAUAUAUGUUUGUCUACAGCUAACAGUGUUUAACACAGUGAGAGGAAAAGGGCUUCAUUUCUAUUUAUGGUAUAUGUAUGACAACAAUAAUGAUGAUAACUAAUGUAUUUUCAAUAAAUAAAAUAUUCUGAAAAAAAUUAAAA
Molecule: non-coding RNA, 4690 nt
Organism: Rattus norvegicus (Norway rat)
Lineage: Eukaryota; Metazoa; Chordata; Mammalia; Rodentia; Muridae
Source: RefSeq, a predicted model, not a curated record